This 237-nucleotide long non-coding RNA is filed under the name Elaeis guineensis (African oil palm). Its description in RNAcentral is "long non-coding RNA (EGUI_LNC059025)". Lineage: Eukaryota; Viridiplantae; Streptophyta; Magnoliopsida; Arecales; Arecaceae. The record is from RNAcentral.
GACCCAUACUCAGAUAUGGAGUUAUGAACUCUGUAGGAUAGUAGAUCUGAUCUAUUAUCAAAUAGAUAUGAUCUAUUACUUACAUUCAUGCAUGCUGUUUUAUUUUCAGAUUUUAUAUGUCAUGUAUCAUAUCAUAAAUCUUAGAAUAGAUUGAUUUAAUGAUAUGUGCAUGUUAGAUUAAUAUGAUUAAUCUAGUUGUAUUCCAUUACAAUUUAUUUCAAAAAAUUUUUGAAAUAC